This 320-nucleotide unclassified non-coding RNA is filed under the name plant metagenome. RNAcentral describes it as "partial contains 5.8S ribosomal RNA, internal transcribed spacer 2, and large subunit ribosomal RNA". The stretch from base 1 to 105 matches the Rfam family "5.8S ribosomal RNA", at positions 50 to 154 of the family's 154-position model. The record is from RNAcentral.
GAAAUGCGAUAAGUAAUGUGAAUUGCAGAAUUCAGUGAAUCAUCGAAUCUUUGAACGCACAUUGCGCCCGCCAGUAUUCUGGCGGGCAUGCCUGUUCGAGCGUCAUUACAACCCUCAGGCCCCCGGGCCUGGCGUUGGGGAUCGGCGGAAGCCCCCUGCGGGCACAACGCCGUCCCCCAAAUACAGUGGCGGUCCCGCCGCAGCUUCCAUUGCGUAGUAGCUAACACCUCGCAACUGGAGAGCGGCGCGGCCACGCCGUAAAACACCCAACUUCUGAAUGUUGACCGCGAAUCAGGUAGGAAUACCCGCUGAACUUAAGC